RNAcentral lists this ribosomal RNA (295 nucleotides) under uncultured bacterium. RNAcentral describes it as "partial 16S ribosomal RNA". It matches the Rfam family "Bacterial small subunit ribosomal RNA", at positions 335 to 622 of the family's 1533-position model. The record is from RNAcentral.
CGUCCUACGGGAGGUAGCAGUAGGGAAUUUUCGUCAAUGGGCGCAAGCCUGAACGAGCAAUGCCGCGUGAACGAGGAAGGUCUUCGGAUCGUAAAGUUCUGUUGAAGGGGAAAAAGAGCGGAGAGAGGAAAUGGUCUCCGAUUGAUAUUACCCUUCGAGGAAGUCACGGCUAACUACGUGCCAGCAGCCGCGGUAAUACGUAGGUGGCGAGCGUUAUCGGGAAUGAUUGGGCGUAAAGGGGGCGUAGGCGGCCUGCUAAGUCUGGAGUGAAAGGUACCGGCUCAAACAGUACAGG